UGGGUAGACAGAGUAAUUUCUAGAGCAGU
RNAcentral lists this non-coding RNA (29 nucleotides) under Rattus norvegicus (Norway rat). The record is from RNAcentral. Lineage: Eukaryota; Metazoa; Chordata; Mammalia; Rodentia; Muridae.